Acinonyx jubatus (cheetah) is the source of this 2626-nucleotide long non-coding RNA. RefSeq lists it as uncharacterized. The transcript is spliced from 3 exons. The record is from RefSeq and is a predicted model, not a curated record. NCBI's taxonomy places the organism in Eukaryota, Metazoa, Chordata, Mammalia, Carnivora, Felidae.
GCCAGGCACUGGGCCUGUAGGGAUGUGUAGGAACUGCUUCUGAACAGCCCCGAAUAUCGAUGACCACACCCUGUUAACCUCAGGAGGUGAGUAUGCAGAGGGCUGUCCUGUGCCGAUGGCCUCUGUUUAUGCAGACAGGCAGGGCUUUGCAGGGUCUGGCUUGACCCCAGAAAGUUCUGGAAUGCGCUCUACACUCAGCAACCCAGUUUUACUCUUUACCAGCCUUCUCCAUUCCCAGCUGCUCAAGGGGGUGAGGAUGUGGCCAUUCUAGCCCUCUGUGGGGCAGGUGUCCCUGGGCUCCAACGUGUCCCUGAAUGGGUAGCCUUCUUACCUGGCCUGAACUUGGGCUCCGAUUUCCUGAUUAUGCCGCAGCAGCAGUGACAACAGUAACAGUAACUUACUGAGCUUGUACUAGUACCACCCCCCCCCCCCCCCCCAACACCGCUCCUGGGACAAUGAAUCCCACCAGCCCCUUCUUCCCCAGGGCAUACCUGGUGAUGGCCCCACCCCAACGGGAUACACCAGCUUCCUCUGCCCGCCCCCAGCAGCAGUCCCUUGAGGUUCAAAGGUUUAACAACUGAGGUUUCUACCAUUUAGAAGAGAGGACCCCAACCCGAAGCAGUGACAUGUAACCAGUGGUGCACAUUAGAACAGACAUUGGUGAGUGGGGGUGAGGGAUUAGCUAGAGUGAGCACGGUAGAGGGGGAGAUGACAAAUAGAUAGAGGGCUAGGGCGAGGCCCUUGAUUUCACACAGACUCACAGUCCUGACUCAUCAAGGAGAAGGGAUGGGGGGGGGGUGUUAUGCAAGUCCUCCCAAGUGGCACCAAGUGAUGACGAUUUUGGGGAGGCACGGGAUAUCACAAGAGAAAGCAGGUGGCUGCCAUGGGGACAGGUAAAGGGGACGCCACAGUAAGGGUGGGAGCAUGAGUCAGUGAAGGUGGGGCUGGUGGAGACUAAGGGAGCUGCAGCUUCGAGCCCCAGUGGUACACCUGACUGAGCCCAUCGCCUGGACUCAUGGACAUCAGGGAGCCAAGACAUGAAUGUUAUGGACAAAAUCAUCUUAAGGCUCCAGCAGAUUAAAUGAAUUAAUUAGUAAAUGAGGGGCUUCAGGAAAGGUUUCCUUAGGACAGUGAACUCCAAGGAGUGUGUUCUGGAGCGCCCAUCCUGUGAGACCCUCCUUGUGGUCAAAUUUGGGAAGGCCACUGGGCUUUCGCUUUCCUAUGGCAGCCUCACAACACACAUCACCACAUUAAAGGCUCUGAAAAGUCCUGUGGUAACAAAAGCUACUUAACUUGUCUCACUCAGCAUUUCCCACAUUCAUUUGGCCACAAAAUUAAAAAAAAAAAACAAAAAACAAUCCCAUUAAUAUCCCUCAGAGGAAUCCCGACCCACACUUUGUCAAGUGCUGAUACAGAGGGAUUGGUAAAAGUGGGAUGUCUCUUCUGUGUCAGGGGUCUUCUGUGUUGCCCUCCCCCCACCCAUCAUAUCACAUCAGCCCCUGAUCAGACCCUUGGGGCUCUUUGGCUAAACAUCCUAGAAACAUUCUCUGCAAACUUGACUCUAAGUCCGGCCCUUGCCUGGCCCCGAGCCAUGAAGGAUGUGAAGAGAAGACUUACAGGGGCAGGGGCGUUUGAAGGACAUGUAAUCCUUGGAGCAAAAUAGCGGAGCCAGCCUGCCCACUUGUACAGUUCCAACUUCUUGUAGAAAAGGAUCCUCCGCUCACCUGCAGAAACACAAACAGACAGAUCAUGGCAUUCUGAGCAUUUUAUACCUGGAAGGACCCUUAAAGACCAGCCCAAUGUCCUCAUAUCACAGAAGGGGAACAGACGUAGAAAGGAUGAAUCCAAGACCUAUCUUUGGAGAGCCUGAACUCAGAAGUCCAAGUCCUGUCACUUCCUGGAGUGUGCCUCUAGGCACAGUACUUCACCUGUCUGAGCUGCAGUGUCCUCAGGAGGAAAUCAGGGUAGGGCACUUCACUGGCUUUGAGGAUGGGGGGGGGGGUGGGUACGUAUGUCAUGUUCAUUCUGUUGUCCGAGGGGGUCAGGGGGAGGGAGCCAUUGCUGCCACUGACCCUGGGGUCCCUCUCUCCAGAUGGCUCCUUGCGGCUCAGUCUUCUGGGUGUGAACCCCAGGUGGCCUGAUGCAUAUUCCCCAUCCCUAGAGAAACCAACAAGAGUUUUGAUGGGGGAAUGGAGGGUAGGAUGUGAUCUCCCUUGGCCCAGUAGAGAAGUCUCUCUGGCAUGGCAGGCUGCUUGGGGAACUGUGAUUUCACACCAGAAAAUUCUGAAGAGUCUCAGGGCCUGGGAUCUAUACUUUCUAAAAUACAUGUGUGUACAUGUAUCUGUGUUCACGUUUGUGGGUAUGCCCGUGUGCACUGUGGCCACGUGUGUGUCUGGAGGGAGACUUAAGCAGGCUGACAGGCCAUCUUUCAUGCUGCUUCCAGAGAGGUCUUUCUUAAAGGCACAAUGGAUCAUGUCAUUCUUUUGCCGAAAACCCUUCCAUAAAUCCUCAGUGUCCCUAGGAAAAUGAACUGGCUUCUACCACUACUUCCACCGCCCUGGUGCUCUGCCUGCCUCUCUAGUGAACUGGUGUAAUGUGAGUGCUUAAUAAAAAUAUGCUGCAUGUA